This 64-nucleotide transfer RNA is filed under the name Simocephalus sibiricus. Its description in RNAcentral is "tRNA-Gly". Lineage: Eukaryota; Metazoa; Arthropoda; Branchiopoda; Diplostraca; Daphniidae. The record is from RNAcentral.
AUCUUUUUAGUAUAAUAAUGUAUACUUGACUUCCAAUCAAAAGGUCCAUGAAGUGGAAAAGAUA